GGUACCCUACUUGUGGGUAAAGUGUACAACCUCUUCAGAGUUAAAACCUAUCCGGGUAGCCAUGUCCACAGUAUUGGACGAGUUACGGCUUGGUCACAUGACUAGUGUUUGGGAGAUGGAUGAUUUUCAUGGUGUGUGUUAAAUUUUGGAAGUGUUCGGCAGUUGUGCCAUGAGCUACUGCAGAUGGGGAGUCCGGUAGCAUUAAAACUUGGAUUCUUA
This 219-nucleotide long non-coding RNA is filed under the name Setaria italica (foxtail millet). RNAcentral describes it as "long non-coding RNA (SITA_LNC004946)". Lineage: Eukaryota; Viridiplantae; Streptophyta; Magnoliopsida; Poales; Poaceae. The record is from RNAcentral.